UACUAUGCUUCAAGAAAGAAAGAAAGAAAGAAAUACCGACAGACAGACAGAGAGGAAGGAAAGAGAAGAAAGAAAAUAAUGAAAGAACUUUCCUGGCUGUACAGAAUACAUUAUACAGGUCCUAGGGCAAAAAUAGAGGAACUUCAGGAAAAUAUACUGGAUUAUGCUCUUUUUCCUUAAAUGGUCAGUCCUAUCCUUUGGCUAAUCAGAGAAGAGAAAAGGCUGCAGGCAGAAUACAACCUUCCCCAGGGCAGCAGCUGAGGCACUGUAAUUUCAAAGGCUAGGCAGCAAGUUGGGUAAGAAUUCAGAAAAAGGAAAGUCAAACAUGAAUAGGGCAGCUCCAGCUGGCUGUUGACCAGCUGAUUGCAGAACUUGAGAAACUCCCAGCAGAGAGAUGAAGAAACACGACAUUAACCAGCACUCCAGUUCCAGAGAGCUUUGUUUAAGCCACAGCAGCCCUGCGAAGUCAAAGGUGGGAAUGAGAUCCCGAAAUCAGGGUGGUGAAAGUUCAUCUAACGGGCAUGUCUCCUGCCCCAAGUCCUCCAUCAUCAGCAGUGCUGAUGAUAAAAGUCUCUCGGAAGAUACGAAAAAGAAGAACAAAUCAAAUAGAAAGGAGGAUGAUGUCACGGCCUCAGGAACUGUCAAACGACACCUAAAACCAUCUGGAGAAAGUGAACGAAAGAAUAAGAAAUCCUUGGAGUUAUCCAAAGAAGACCUCAUCCAGCUACUCAGUAUAAUGGAAGGGGAGUUGCAGGCCAGGGAAGAUGUGAUCCACAUGCUGAAGACAGAGAAAACCAAGCCUGAGGUUCUGGAGGCGCACUACGGGUCUGCGGAGCCCGAGACAGUGCUGCGGGUCCUGCACCGAGACGCCAUCCUGGCCCAGGAGAAGUCCAUCGGAGAAGAUGUGUAUGAGAAGCCCAUCUCAGAGCUGGACAGACUCGAGGAAAAACAGAAGGAAACCUACCGGCGCAUGCUGGAGCAGCUGCUGCUGGCAGAGAAGUGUCACCGGCGCACGGUGUACGAGCUGGAGAACGAGAAGCACAAGCACACGGACUACAUGAACAAGAGCGACGACUUCACCAACCUGCUGGAGCAGGAGCGAGAGAGGUUGAAAAAACUCCUUGAACAAGAAAAGGCUUACCAAGCCCGCAAAGAAAAGGAAAACGCUAAGCGGCUCAACAAACUGAGAGAUGAGCUGGUGAAACUCAAGUCCUUUGCACUCAUGCUGGUGGAUGAAAGGCAAAUGCAUAUCGAGCAACUUGGCCUGCAAAGCCAGAAAGUACAGGACCUGACUCAGAAACUGAGGGAAGAGGAAGAAAAGCUCAAAGCCAUUACUUCCAAAUCUAAAGAAGACAGGCAGAAAUUGCUCAAGCUGGAAGUGGAUUUUGAACACAAGGCUUCGAGGUUUUCCCAGGAGCAUGAAGAGAUGAACGCUAAGCUUGCCAAUCAGGAGUCUCACAAUAGGCAACUCAGGCUCAAGCUGGUUGGCUUAACUCAAAGAAUUGAGGAGCUGGAAGAGACCAACAAAAAUCUUCAAAAGGCAGAGGAAGAACUUCAGGAACUAAGAGAGAAAAUUGCCAAAGGGGAAUGUGGCAACUCCAGCCUCAUGGCAGAAGUGGAAAAUCUGCGGAAGCGCGUGCUCGAAAUGGAGGGUAAAGAUGAGGAGAUCACGAAAACGGAAUCCCAGUGCCGGGAACUGAGGAAGAAGCUGCAGGAGGAAGAACACCAUAGCCGGGAGCUCAAACUUGAAGUUGAGAAGUUACAGAAGAGAAUGUCAGAACUGGAGAAACUGGAAGAAGCCUUUAGCAAGAGUAAAUCUGAGUGCACCCAGCUGCAUUUAAAUCUGGAGAAAGAAAAGAACUUAACCAAGGACCUGCUCAAUGAAUUGGAGGUGGUCAAGAGUCGGGUUAAAGAACUGGAAUGUUCCGAAAGUAGAUUGGAAAAGGCUGAAUUAAGCCUCAAAGAUGAUCUGACAAAGUUGAAGUCAUUUACGGUGAUGCUGGUUGAUGAAAGGAAAAAUAUGAUGGAAAAAAUAAAGCAAGAAGAGAGAAAAGUAGAUGGACUCAAUAAAAACUUCAAGGUGGAACAAGGAAAGGUUAUGGAUGUCACUGAGAAACUAAUAGAAGAAAGUAAGAAGCUUUUAAAACUGAAAUCUGAAAUGGAGGAAAAGGUGUACAAUUUGACAAAAGAGAGAGACGAGUUAAUAGGCAAACUGAAAAGUGAAGAAGAAAAAUCCUCUGAAUUAAGCUGCAGUGUUGACUUACUAAAGAAGAGACUUGAUGGGAUAGAGGAAGUGGAGAGAGAAAUAACCAGAGGGAGGUCUCGAAAAGGACCUGAGCUCACCUGCCCAGAAGAUAACAAAAUUAAGGAACUUACCCUUGAAAUUGAGAGGCUGAAGAAACGCCUGCAACAACUGGAGGUGGUCGAAGGGGAUUUGAUGAAGACAGAGGAUGAGUAUGACCAGCUGGAGCAGAAAUUUAGAACUGAGCAGGAUAAGGCGAACUUCCUCUCCCAACAGCUGGAGGAGAUAAAACACCAGAUUGCCAAGAAUAAAGCAAUAGAGAAAGGUGAGGCUGUGAGCCAGGAAGCGGAGCUGAGACACCGAUUUCGGUUGGAAGAAGCUAAAAGUCGAGACUUAAAAGCCGAAGUGCAAGCCCUUAAGGAGAAGAUUCAUGAGUUAAUGAACAAAGAAGAUCAGCUUUCUCAGCUCCAAGUGGAUUAUUCUGUUCUCCAACAAAGAUUCCUGGAAGAGGAAAAUAAGAACAAAAACAUGGGGCAGGAGGUCCUCAAUCUGACCAAAGAGUUGGAGCUUUCGAAGCGUUACAGCCGAGCUCUCAGGCCCAGCGUGAACGGGAGGAGAAUGGUGGAUGUUCCCGUGACGUCCACCGGCGUCCAGACGGAUGCCGUCAGCAGUGAGGCGGCGGAGGAGGAGACGCCGGCGGUGUUCAUCCGGAAAUCCUUCCAAGAAGAGAAUCACAUCAUGAGUAAUCUUCGGCAGGUGGGGCUGAAGAAGCCUAUGGAACGAUCCUCUGUUCUGGACCGGUAUCCGCCAGCGGCCAACGAGCUCACCAUGAGGAAGUCUUGGAUUCCGUGGAUGAGAAAAAGGGAAAACGGGCCCCCGAUGACUCAAGAGAAAGGGCCUCGAACAAGCUCCAGUCCGGGGCACCCGGGAGAGCUGGUCCUUUCCCCGAAGCAGGGCCAGCCCCUGCACAUCCGAGUGACCCCAGACCACGAGAACAGUACCGCGACUUUGGAGAUAACCAGCCCGACGUCCGAAGAAUUUUUUUCUAGUACCACCGUCAUUCCUACCUUAGGGAAUCAGAAACCAAGGAUCACCAUUAUUCCAUCACCAAAUGUCAUGUCUCAAAAGCAAAAAGGUGGCGAUGGCCCUCUUGGCACAGAACGAUCCAUGUCCCCAGUCACAAUUACUACCUUUUCCAGAGAGAAGACCCCAGAAAGUGGAAGAGGUGCGUUUGCGGACAGGCCCACCUCCCCGAUCCAGAUCAUGACGGUGUCCACGUCCGCGGCACCAGCUGAGGUCGCCGUCUCUCCCGAAUCCCAGGAAAUGCCCGUGGGAAGGACUGUCUUCAAAGUCACCCCAGAAAAGCAGACUGUUCCAACUCCAGUCCGGAAAUACAACUCCAAUGCCAAUAUCAUAACCACGGAAGACAAUAAAAUUCACAUUCACUUGGGUUCUCAGUUUAAACGAUCCCCGGGGACGUCGGCCGAAGGAGCAAGUCCGGUUAUCACUGUCCGACCUGUCAGUGUGACGGCUGAGAAGGAGGUGUCCACUGGCACCGUCCUGCGCUCUCCCAGGAACCAUCUCUCGUCGCGCCCUGGCGGGAGCAAAGUCACCAGCACCAUCACCAUCACACCUGUCACAACCUCAUCCGCCCGAGGAACCCAGUCAGUGUCAGGACAAGACGGGUCAUCCCAGCGGCCUACACCCACCCGCAUUCCUAUGUCAAAAGGUAUGAAAGCAGGAAAGCCAGUAGUGGCAGCCCCAGGAGCAGGAAAUCUGACCAAAUUCGAGCCUCGAGCUGAGACUCAGUCUAUGAAAAUAGAGCUGAAGAAGUCUGCAGCCGCCAGCACCGCCUCUCCCGGAGGGGGGAAGGGCUGAGGGCAGCGGCUGGGGGUAUGUUGUGCAGACGCUGCUGCUGCCGUGAGAACCGACCGGCGUCCGUUUGUGCCAGCUCUUUCCGUGUACUAAUUUAAGUUUUUAAUUUCUUGUUCAUAAAAUAAUCAACUAAUAGCCCCGUGUCUUUCCUAUUUUGUGAAUGUGUUUUGAUGCUGGGGAAGAGGACUAACCGGCAAUACUGCUGCGUGCGGUGUGCUUUGGGGAGGAGGCGGGGCCUGACUUCCAGACCCGGGUUUGCUUCUAGGAAGUGGCCCCAUCAGUCAACCCUGUAAGACAUGGGGGCUGGGUCACAUCCUCUCCAAAGCCGACUCCAUAUUUCCUAAUUAUAAAUCAAAUUUAAUAGGCCUUGUUUCCCCAAUGAUUGAAUUUUCAAAAACCCUUUUAUGAAAUAGGAAAUAGUUUGACAAGUGUCAUUUGCCUCUGUCCAAUUCCAAACUUGCUUCAUGUGAUGGAAAAAAACAAAAAACAAAAAACCCCCAAAAAACCGAAAACCAAAACCACCUAGUUAUCACAGGGCCUGGGCCUCUAAAGUUUUGAGGAAAAAAAAAAAAAGCCUCUGAGAUAAUUUCAGGAAGCAAUUUGAAUGUGAAAUAAAAUGGAAAUGAAAUACAGACUCCUAAAAACAGAGUUUUACUUAUUUGUGUGCCUGUGUGUAUUACAAAGAUUUUGGAAUUUCAGAACCAUCAUUGUUAGACUCAUGCUCUAUUCAAGGGUGCUAUUAAUGUAAAUUGUGGAGCUGUUUGAAUAGAGCUGCCAAACGGCCCUUUAUAGCUCAACAGAGGUUGUAAUGGAUUAAAAAAAAAAAAAGCAGAAAGUAAAUUUUGAUACAUUGUUGCCAAGAAAUAAAAUGACAUCAUGCAUAGCUUAAUGGAAUUGAAACAUUUUCACAGUUAAGUGUGGAGUUUAUGCCCAAGUAUAGAACCAGUUCAUGAUUGUGUGUGUGCACAUGUGCAUGUGUGGUGAAGUGUAUUAUGAUGACUUGUGUUUGUAUCUUUGUCAUUAAUUUUAAGCAUGUUUUAAUAAGCAUGAACAGUAUGUGGAUACAAAAUACCAGGUAUCUGUGAGAAAAUUAACCAUGUUAAAGUGGAUGCGAUGCUUCGUAGUCAAAUAACCACCAAUGAGCUCAAGGCUAGCAAUCCCUGGCUUAGCAUCUGAGGUCUAGGGUAGGCAGCACCUUUGUCAAAAUCUUUGAGCCAAUGGAGUGAACUUUACAACAACACAAUAGGUGCAAAGUUACAGUUUGGUAUUUUCCACUUCUGAAUUGUGAGGUUCCAAAACCCCUCACAAUUAGUCCCUGCUCUUGAUAGUUGGGAAAAGGUAAUAUUUUUUCAAAAAGAUGCACAAUUGGUUUUUAGUCCAGGAAACAUCCUGCUUCGUAGUAAAGAGGCUGUCCUCUGAGCUGUUUCCACCCUGGACUUCCUGUCCCUUGCAGAACCUGGGCUUGAAUUGUGUGUGAUGGAGGUGGACACCUCCCAGUGUUCACGUUCACUUCAUCAGAGCACGGUUGCCUACAGCUUAUCAAUUGUCAGCAGCUGUAUUUAAAAACGCUGAGCAAUCACGGUAGACGCGCCUUAAUAAUUAAAAUUUCAAGGUAGAAGGAGAGGGAGACUUAAAAAAAAAAAGACUUUCUGAACUAUAAUUUUGAACGAGUUUAAACAAGAGAUCUUGCCAUUUUGAAUACUGGCUUAUGUUCCUUUAAAAGGGAAUUUUCCCCUUUUGUAAAGUGGGCAUCAUCUCUUUGGAAAACAGACUCCCAACUGUGUUUCAAACGCCUCCCUGGCAUCCAGGGUAUUUAAUGUUAUUGUACCAUGAUGCCCGGGCUUUGAGUAAACGAAGGUGUCAAAUGCACAAAACGCUGCAUUCCUUUUGACUCUCCCUGCCCUUCUUCAGUGACUUUUAUCCUAAUCUACUGUCACUGCUGUUGUUUUUGCUGUUUUUACCUGCUCACACCAUGCUUCCACCGGUUCUGCCUGGAAGUCCAUACCAUCCUCAGGGAGAGUGCUGCAGAAGGCUUAACAGUGCGUGUGCAGGAUGUUGCUACAUCUGGAUCUUGGAAUGCAGCCACCUGCAAAGCACAACUGCUAAGAAAACUUGGCAGCCCAACCCAUAUUCACUUUUCAGAAAUGAUAAAGAGCAGCCGCUGUGGCAGUUUUUCUUUGUAAUUUUAGAACCAACUCUACGUUUAUUGGAUAGCCUUGUUUUAAACUACAUAUUAGAAAGGAAAUCCACUGGGGACAGGAGGUGGAGAAUUCAAUGCACUCCAACUCCGGCUUCUAUUUAAAGCAUCAUCAUCCACCAGUUACGUAUGAACUCCAGAUGAAAUGGUAAACCAAGCACAUACUGGGUGUGUGUACUUCCUCUGCAUCCCUGUUGAAUGGAUAGUAUUUCUACAGCUCUCCAUCAUCAUUAAGGUCCUCCAUGCUACUGAUCGCUACUGGAAAUAAUUUUCUACUUCCAGUGAAUUUUUUUUUGAGGAUAUAAAUGGAAAAACUGAAAACGGUGUUGCUGAUAAUAUAAAAAUAGUUGGCAAGAGCAGUUCAAUCUUGGCGUCAAAAGGAACUUCUCCUCCUUUUGCAAAGCUUUCAGGUCCAUGGGCACAUGCUAUGUAAUUUAUUUUUAUAAUACACUUUGUAAUGUGAUUUGUUUUUCCUAAAGUGUUUCCUUUUUCAUAGUCUAUGGCACAUAUAUCUGUAGAAUACAUUGUCAGUUCUUCAAAUGCAUUGCUAUUAGGGUAUUCAAAAAGGUGACCUAUACUUACUUUUAUCAAUUUGUUGUUUCUGGAAAAAAAAAAAGUGAAACACUCUAUAUAUUUCCUGGGGCAAAUUCAAGAAGUAAAACCAAAGCAGGAGAUUCUGGGAGAGGUAUUACUAUUACUUGCACGAUGCUGUGGUUCUGAUUAUGGUUCAACACUAACAAGUAACACUCUGAUUAAAGAGUUUAAAUUUAAAGACUUAAGCCAGUUUUUAAAGUUGCUCUUUCUGGCAUUCUGUGCCAAAAUCUCUGGAUGAAUUGCUUUUCAUAUGGAACAAGUUGGUAGGAGGGGCGGUAUGAGUUGAACCAGUUAAGUGUUAUUGGAUCAGCUUCUACUGACAGGUCAAUUAUCUUUCUGUUUGCAUUAUUUGCUUAUAUGCACAGGACUUAUAAUAAGAACUGUGAUUUCAGGAUAUUUCUCACAAUCUAAUCCAAAUGAAAGCCUGAAAAUAAAAACCAACCUAGAUAGUAUCAGCAUCUUUUAAAAAAUUGGUAAAGGAAAUCCCUAGAUAACAUUUUUUUCUUGGUAGGAUUUGGACAGGUUUUCAUAACCACAUACAGGUUAGAAAAUAUAUUCUUUAAAAAUUCAAAGCCACAACAUACGUUACUCAAAUCUCAGUGUCAGACCUGCUGUUGAAUUUUGGUUUCUGUGAAAAUUUGCAUUUAAAUCUACUUGGAAUCCUAAGAGUACAGGUUUUUUUUUUUUAAAGACUUUGUUAAUGUGGACAUGUUUUCAAUAAGGUCUUUAAAAAGAUCAUUUUAAAGAUCAGUGAAGAGUUGAUACAUCAAUUUCUAGAUGCAGAAAUCACGUAUCCUGUCACUUUCCUGAGAGUGAAGAAAGAAUGCUUCUGAGGGUCACGCAGAUAACUAGAAAGCACACGAGUAACACUGUUGGCCCAUUUCUCAGUCCACAAGUUGUACCCGGGUUCAUAAGGCCAUAGAGAGGGGUCUGCACUGAAUCUCAGGAACAGAAAAAUUAGUGUUGGAUUUCCUUCCCUCUGUAUCUUUGGAAGGUUUUAAGUAUACCUCGUGGAAUUGGCAAAUCAUAUUCAGCAGGUAUUAUAAGUUAAACAACUAUAUUUUAUGUAAAAUUAGCUUUGAUUUUUGUGAGGAAACGAAAUGCUACAGUAGGCUUGUCUCAGCAUGAAUGAUUGUGAAUGCAUCACAGAACCUGCAGGGCUUUCGUUACUGAUUAAGAAAACUAGAGUGUGUCUGUGUGAAGAUUUAAAAAUUUGUUCUGAUGGGUUUUGAUUUCUGAAAGUGCGUCUGAACUGUAAUGACAGUUUCAAUUAGGAAAGGGUUUAGUCUUGUUACAUUUAUUGACUCACAGUUAAGUCCCCUAUUUGCCACUGCUUACAUGUCUGAUGGCAAAAAUAUUCUGAUCUAUCACAAGCAAAUAACUUUCUCAACGUGUGGGAACUUUAUUACACUAAUAGUGAAAAGGUUAGAGGGUAAGAUUAUUUAAAUAAUUCCUGGUUAUAAUUUAAAACGUUACAAGUAAUUUAUGUAUAUUUGGAUCUAAAGUUUUUAUUUCCCCUGAGUUUGUAAUGAAAUUCGGUACUUGCAGUGCAGAGUGAGGAUGAUGGUGCAAUCAAAGUCACUUAGAUGGAUGGUGCCUUUUUCUGCCCAUGCUAUGCUUAAGUCCUCUGUUUAAACUCACGUGGAAUCUGAGUGACAGAUGUGUAAAAUGAAUCUAAAUUAAUUUAAAAAACUAAUGGUCCUGAAAUAAAUAAUAGAGUAUUAAAAAUAAAACAACCAGAUUGUAAACAGUCAUAUUCCAAUACCAACAUCCAAUUGAAACAAUUGCCCCCAUGUGCAAUCCUGGCACCAUCUUAGGCUCACAUAAUUUCUACAUCUUUUAUUGUAAAUAAAUUUCCAAUCAUCAGUAUGAAUGAGAAUCAGUUUUGAAUGGAGUAAUUAUGUUUUCUGAAACAUAGUCAUAAUUAGUGUUUCCAGCUUAAGGCACAAUUGAAUUAAUCCAUUAUUCAGCCCUUUUCUUUUUGAUGAGAGAGUGGUUUUUGAGGGAAUAUGCUGCAAACAUGUUUUUUCAAGUAUUUCAUAAAAUAUUAGGGUUUGAUGAAGAUAGUGGUAGAAUAAAUAUUCCAGAUAUUAGAUGCCUGGAAUGUUCACGAAAUAUGAAGAAUUAAUUGUAUCUUAGGACAACCACUUAAAAAAAUUCAUGGUGCGGAAAAGCUAGCUUAAACACACGCAGACACACGAAAUUAUUCACAGCUUCUAAAAAUCAGUGAUGAAGCAAAAGUAAAUGGUGUAUCAGACAAUGUAAUAUGGUUUGUGUCUUUUCUUUUGAUACUGUGGUUGAAUUUUCCUGGAAAUAAAAAGAAUAGCAAAAGUAGGGUGUGGUCAUGAAUCUGAUGAGCAACAAUUCUAAAAAGUAACAAAAAUGCGAAAUGGAAGUUUUAGAAAAACACAUCUGGCACCCGAGGCAUAUAUCCCCCUCCAGACUCCAGUGCUGUGCCUCUGCUAAAAAUAUGAAUUAGAGGGCAAAGAGGAAAAACAAUAAAAAUUGUUGUGAUAAAUUCAUAAACAUCGGGAGAGUUUUGUGGAAUUCAUUUUGCUUAGUGGCUAUUAAAGUUUUACUUUCUAAAGUUUUUAGUGUUUACUCCAUAACUAGAUGAUGAAAACUGUGUUUGUUACCUAGGAAAAAUACCAUAGAUUCAUAAAUUUGGACAGAAGUGUUUAAAGGUGCCAUGACAUGAUACAUUGAUUUUCUGGUGUUGUUUUCUUUUUGUUUAUGUUAUUUGGGUAAUUUUACCUCACCAUUCACAGAUUUUGUUAUUUUAACAGUUUAGAUUUGUAUUUAUUUAGAUUUUGCUUUAAAAAUAUCAGAUGUUAGUUUCUCCAAUGUAAGAGGCUUAUAAUGUGAUCAGAUAUUCUUUGAAGUCUUGCAGGUUUAAUGGAUUUUCAAAAGCAAAAGAUUGCAUUGAGAAAUUCUGGAGCUACGUUCUAUUUUCACAGCAGUCUCAAUUUUGUCUCUUUUAAGUUUUAUUAAAUCCAUGAGAAGUUUAUCAUUUUUCACUACAGCCGAGUGAAUUUAUGGAUAUGUACUUGUCUUUUAUAUGAAUGUAAUAUCCAACUUUCAGUUCUUCACGGGCUAUUGAAAUUAUUUAACCCAUUAAGAUAUUCUCUGUGUUAUCUCCCAAGUCAACCGUGUUUAUCAAAAUCUCACCAGAGUGAGAAAAACAAUUGUGAUAUGAAAGCAUUGUGCAAUAUUCUUUUUUGAGUUGGAACAUAAUAUCCAUCACAUUAAAAUCAUUUAAAAUGA
This is a non-coding RNA of Vicugna pacos (alpaca), 10172 nucleotides long. Lineage: Eukaryota; Metazoa; Chordata; Mammalia; Artiodactyla; Camelidae. The record is from RefSeq and is a predicted model, not a curated record.